GCGGAGCUAUGUAGGGGCCGAACCGGGCCAUGGCCCGCCCAGGUUUUGGGCCGAAAAAAAUUUAGGUAGUAUGCAUCCCAUGUCCAGCCCAACUGCUGAACUGCAGCCCACCAAAAUGACCAGAACGUCCACGCCCCUGCCUCGUUGACUCAUCGCUCGACCAAGAAAAGCACGACUCAGAGCACGGCGGAGCUAGGUUUGGGAAUUCAGAAGGGCAAUCGGGGGAAGUAGGCGGAGGCGAAGCAGGGCGGCACGGCAGCAGCAGCGCCGGAUCGCCGCCCAUCGCUGCAGCCCGCAAGCCCGCAGUCACGCACUCAUUCACGGCCGCACGUGCACGGCGCUCCUUCCAGGCGGUGCUGGCCGGAGGUCCAGUAACCGACGCCGAGACCAGCUGCUGAAUCAAGCCGAUGAUCUUCCCCAAUUUCUCUCUAUUGUUUUACAAAUUUUAACAGUUAUGGGGAAGACAAUUCAGAGAAGGAUCGGUAUUGUUUUGAAAGGAAAAGGGAUGAUUAUAUCAUAUGAAGAUUCAACUUUCGUGUGAUAACAGUUAUAGGUAGUUUUCUUGUGUUUAGGAGACAUUUGGGAAGCGUUGGAAAGUUGAAAGAGUGUCGAGAAACCAAACCAACAAAUAAGAUGAAAUAGGACUGCUAUUGGAACGAGAUUGGACAGCCCCCGUACAGCAAGGAGGCGCCCCAUGGGGCGCCCCAACUACUAGUAUAUGUACAAUUCGUUGAUCUGUAACCAAUGCACUAAUGUUUAAUAAAUUGGUGUGUUUGAGAGCAAUUUUCUGUGUUUUUUUCUUGCA
Lolium perenne is the source of this 805-nucleotide long non-coding RNA. RefSeq lists it as uncharacterized. The record is from RefSeq and is a predicted model, not a curated record. NCBI's taxonomy places the organism in Eukaryota, Viridiplantae, Streptophyta, Magnoliopsida, Poales, Poaceae.